UGAAACUAAAAAUCAAAAUAAAAAUAAAAAUAAUGGAUGGGAUUCAACAAUUGGGACUUCCAAUACUUGGAAUUAUAGCAGCAGCUGCUGUUACAUUUUAUGCAGUCAGCUUCUCAGAAAUUAGAGAGAAAUCAUUAAGAGAUUAUGAGGAUGGAGAAGAAUUUGGAAGUGGUGGAUUCAAGUAUGUUAGCUCUAGAGAAAGGAGAGCUAGAAAAAAAGCUGAUAAACAAAAAUCAAAAUCUUAGAUUUUUUGUACUCAUAUUUUCAUGUAUCUUAUUUUCUAUUGCAAUUUUUGUUGUCGAAAUCAGAG
Molecule: unclassified non-coding RNA, 310 nt
Filed under: Hevea brasiliensis (rubber tree)
Lineage: Eukaryota; Viridiplantae; Streptophyta; Magnoliopsida; Malpighiales; Euphorbiaceae
Source: RNAcentral